This 353-nucleotide long non-coding RNA is filed under the name Hordeum vulgare. Its description in RNAcentral is "long non-coding RNA (HVUL_LNC006318)". The record is from RNAcentral. Lineage: Eukaryota; Viridiplantae; Streptophyta; Magnoliopsida; Poales; Poaceae.
UAUUACAAUCUUUACACUACACCACAACCCAGAUAUACCUACUACUGCCAACUAUUACAAUACAUAUACCUCUUUGUUGAUACGCUUCGUAGCUUCACACUUGGCUUUGUACUUCUCCUGUGCAAAAAAUAAGAAUAAGAUGUGAACUAACACUUUAGGUAUUUAAAUAACAGCAUUUACAAAAAAAGUGUGAACUAACACUACAGGUUGUCAUAUACAAAAAUAGUAGGUUGUUCAAGUGCAGACGAGGUCGACUUCAAAAGCUAAAAUUGCAUCGACUACUGUCUGCAAUAGUUAAAAUAUACAAGAAAUUUGUUCAUAUACAAGAAAAGUAGGUUGUCUGCUUCCAGUGG